UACGUAGGGCGCAAGCGUUGUCCGGAAUUAUUGGGCGUAAAGAGCGUGUAGGCGGUCCGGUAAGUCAGCUGUGAAAGUCAAGGGCUCAACCUUUGAAUGCCGGUUGAUACUGUCGGGCUAGAGUCCGGAAGAGGCGAGCGGAAUUCCCGGUGUAGCGGUGAAAUGCGCAGAUAUCGGGAGGAACACCAGUGGCGAAGGCGGCUUUUUGGUCUGUAACUGACGCUGAGGCGCGAAAGCGUGGGGAGCAAACAGG
Molecule: ribosomal RNA, 253 nt
Filed under: uncultured bacterium
Lineage: Bacteria
Description: partial 16S ribosomal RNA
Rfam family: Bacterial small subunit ribosomal RNA
Source: RNAcentral